Molecule: transfer RNA, 82 nt
Filed under: Ipomoea nil (Japanese morning glory)
Lineage: Eukaryota; Viridiplantae; Streptophyta; Magnoliopsida; Solanales; Convolvulaceae
Rfam family: tRNA
About the family: Transfer RNA (tRNA) molecules are approximately 80 nucleotides in length. Their secondary structure includes four short double-helical elements and three loops (D, anti-codon, and T loops).
Source: Rfam by way of RNAcentral
GUUCCUUUGGCUAAGUGGUUAAGGCGUGUGCCUGCUAAGUACAUGGGGUUUCCCUGCGAGAGUUCGAAUCUCUCAAGCAACG